This 460-nucleotide ribosomal RNA is filed under the name uncultured bacterium. RNAcentral describes it as "partial 16S ribosomal RNA". It matches the Rfam family "Bacterial small subunit ribosomal RNA", at positions 338 to 795 of the family's 1533-position model. The record is from RNAcentral.
CCUACGGGAGACAGCAGUGAGGAAUAUUGGUCAAUGGCCGAGAGUCUGAACCAGCCAAGUAGCGUGAAGGAUGAAUGCCCUAUGGGUUGUAAACUUCUUUUAUAUGGGAAUAAAGUGAUCCACGUGUGGGAUUUUGUAUGUACCCUAUGAAUAAGCAUCGGCUAACUCCGUGCCAGCAGCCGCGGUAAUACGGAGGAUCCGAGCGUUAUCCGGAUUUAUUGGGUUUAAAGGGAGCGUAGGUGGAUUGUUAAGUCAGUUGUGAAAGUUUGCGGCUCAACCGUAAAAUUGCAGUUGAAACUGGCAGUCUUGAGUACAGUAGAGGUGGGCGGAAUGCGUGGUGUAGCGGUGAAAUGCUUAGAUAUCACGAAGAACUCCGAUUGCGAAGGCAGCUCACUAGGCUAUAACUGACACUGAGGCUCGAAAGUGUGGGGAUCAAACAGGAUUAGAUACCCGAGUAGUC